RNAcentral lists this ribosomal RNA (253 nucleotides) under uncultured bacterium. Its description in RNAcentral is "partial 16S ribosomal RNA". It matches the Rfam family "Bacterial small subunit ribosomal RNA", at positions 524 to 776 of the family's 1533-position model. The record is from RNAcentral.
UACGUGGGGUGCAAGCGUUGUUCGGAAUUACUGGGCGUAAAGCGCGUGUAGGCGGCGCAUUAAGUUCGAUGUGAAAGCCCUGGGCUUAACCCAGGAACUGCAUUGAAAACUGAUGUGCUUGAGUCCGGGAGAGGGUCGCGGAAUUCCUGGUGUAGAGGUGAAAUUCGUAGAUAUCAGGAGGAACACCGGUGGCGAAGGCGGCGACCUGGACCGGUACUGACGCUGAGACGCGAAAGCGUGGGGAGCAAACAGG